UGGUGGAGCGAUUUGUCUGGUUAAUUCCGAUAACGAACGAGACUCUAGCCUAUUAAAUAGUUCGCCGAUUUUUCGAGUCGGCGUCAACUUCUUAGAGGGACAAGUGUCGAAUAGGCACGCGAGAUUGAGCAAUAACA
This 137-nucleotide ribosomal RNA is filed under the name uncultured eukaryote. RNAcentral describes it as "partial 18S ribosomal RNA". It matches the Rfam family "Eukaryotic small subunit ribosomal RNA", at positions 1299 to 1458 of the family's 1831-position model. The record is from RNAcentral.